This 484-nucleotide ribosomal RNA is filed under the name uncultured bacterium. RNAcentral's name for it is "partial 16S ribosomal RNA". It matches the Rfam family "Bacterial small subunit ribosomal RNA", at positions 30 to 507 of the family's 1533-position model. The record is from RNAcentral.
AUUGAACGCUGGCGGCAGGCCUAACACAUGCAAGUCGAGCGGAUGAAGGGUACUUGCUCCUUGAUUCAGCGGCGGACGGGUGAGUGAGUCCUAAGAACCUCCCUGUUUGUUUUUUAUAACGUCCUGACACGGGCGCUCAUACCGCAUACCUCCUGACGGCGAACGUGGGGGAGCUUCGGAUCUCACGCUCUCACAUGAUUCUAUGUCGGAUUAGCUAGUUGGUGGGGUAAAGGCCUACCAAGGCGACGAUCCGUGGCUGGUCUGAGAGGAUGAUCAGCCACACUGGAACUGAGACACGGUCCAGACUCCUACGGGAGGCAGCAGUGGGGAAUAUUGGACAAUGGGCGCAAGCCUGAUCCAGCCAUGCCGCGUGGGUGAAGAAGGCCUUCGGGUUGUAAAGCCCUUUUGUUGGGAAAGAAAAGCAGCAGGUUAAUACCUCGCUGUUCUGACGUUACCCAAAGAAUAAGCACCGGCUAACUUCGUG